UCUAUGCACUUUUUGAAGUACAGUCUACUCCUUUUUCUCCCAUCUGUGCAGGCCAGUGCCAAGGCACCUUCUUGGCAAAUGAUGCAAUUUGGGUGCUUGCAACCAGUUCUCUGGAGAUAUUGAGUGAAGACUGAGUCGAUUGUAGCUGAACAAAGGGAAGAUGAAAGAGGCUGUGAAAGAAAUCGUGCCAUUGAGAAUAGACGACUUAAUGGAGUUGUGGAGGUGUGUCAGAUGGGAUUUGUCUUCAUCACUGUGAGCUGCCCCUUUGUGCAGCUUCCUAUUGCUUAGAUCACUCCAGCUUCCAGCAAACUGAAGAAUACUCACUUUGUUCAAGCCUGUGAGUUGCAACUGACUUAAUUGCUUAGAAAAACAUCUUUACAGGACAAAGCAAAAGCAAACAAAGUGCUCCAAGAGUGCAGAAGAGUAGACUGAAAGAGAACUGGCACAGAAGCUAUCACUUUGUAAACAUGAAAAAACUUCUGGAAACACCUCUGUGGAAGACAGGAUCCAAACUCUCAUCUCCUCCCAGUGACCCUUUGUGGUGACAGUUUCAGUAUCAGCAAAUGCAGGAGCAGCUUUGGUACCAGCACUCACUGUGCUGUGCUGAAUCCUUGGGGGCCAAGCUCAAGUUACAGGAUAACUGUUACAUCGAUGAAGCCCUGCUUUGUAGAACAUUGGUUUGGGAAGUCUCACCUGAUCUAUCUGAAAUAGUCAUUGCAAGGAACCUUGUGACAAGCUCCUGUUGCCACCCAGACAGCCACCAACCACCCCGUGAAAGAGAUUUGAUUCCAGCAUGUAAGUGUUACUGUAUGCCAAGAUGAUGAUUGGUUUUAUUAUCAUUAUUCUUUUGAACAAGCAGUGU
RNAcentral lists this long non-coding RNA (862 nucleotides) under Manacus vitellinus (golden-collared manakin). Its description in RNAcentral is "lncRNA (ENSMVIG00005009496.1)". Lineage: Eukaryota; Metazoa; Chordata; Aves; Passeriformes; Pipridae. The record is from RNAcentral.